Long non-coding RNA from Macaca mulatta (Rhesus monkey), 1659 nucleotides. The record is from Ensembl. NCBI's taxonomy places the organism in Eukaryota, Metazoa, Chordata, Mammalia, Primates, Cercopithecidae.
AGGCUACUAGGAGGGCAUAUGACAGAGGUUCGUGACCUAGCCUGGGGGUCAGGUCUGGGUGGGGGAAGCCCUUAAGAACCUGGCCUACCUCCUCUCCUGCAGGCAAUGAGGGGAUGGACGUGGGAAGGGCAGGCACAGCUCCUAUCCACCUAAAGUCACUUUUAAGAGCCAGAGUCUGCUGGCUGGUGGCCCUCAACUUGGGCCAAGCUGAACUGGGUGACUUCUCUCUUCUCCAUUAUUCUACACUCACUGCUGGGGGAAGGCUUGGCCCUGCUUCUUUGCUGUGUCCUCCACCCUAGUGGCAGAUUCUCUGAAUGAGCCUGCUGAGCAACCAUCAAGGCACAAACUGCCUCAGUCAAGCACCACUUAGGUGACUGGGCACGAGGGUGCCAGGGCCUACCCACACUCAGGCUCUCCUGUGGCCCCGGCCCAUGUGGCCUUGAGCCUCGCAGUAUGCCAGACCCUAUUUUCUGCACUUCACAUGCAUUAACAGAAUUAUUCUUCCCAACAACCUUAGAGGUAGGCAUGAUUAUUAAGCCCAUUUUAUUUCUAAGGAAACUGGGGUAAAGGGAAGUUGAAUGUCCACCCCAAGGUCAUGCAUCUAGUAAGUGGCAAAGCUGGAAAAUUAACACAGACCGUCUGGACUUCUGACCCAGGCUCAGCUUCUGCCCUACCUGGGAGCCUCUUCUCCCUACUCUGCCCCCAUGUGAAUGCCUGGGCCCUGAGGAGAGGACACUAGCCUUCUCUCUGUUCCUGAAGACACUGGGAAAAGAAAGGCUGAAAGGCUGGUGUCCAGGGCCAAGCCUGACUCACCUUUGGGGCCCCAGGGUGCAGAAUGAGGUCUCUCCCCUCUCUUGCCCAUCCAGCCAUCCUUCUGGAAAGUGCUGAGUCCAAUGUAUAGUGGUUAAGACACAGGCUCCUUUGCCAGGUGGCCAGCAUUUGAAUUGUGGUUGUGCCACUUACUAGUUGUGUGGCCUUGAGCAAGUUACCUAAUCAUUCUAACCUCAUUGUCUCAUCUGUCAAAUGGGGAUGAUGAUGGUGGUAACUAUAUCAUAGGGUUGUCACAAAGAUUAAACAGAUUGUUUGCAAAGUGCUUAGGACAGCACUUGACACUACAGAGUAAAUAUAAUGAUUGGCUGUUUGUAGUUUUGCUGUCUCCCAGGGCCUGAGGUGACAGACAAGUGCUGCUCUGAGUUCUGCCUUGGACAUUUCCAAGCAAAGUUAUUGCCUUUGAGUGUGGAGACUGAGAAUAGUUGAUAAAUUUUUUUUUUUUUUGCCUUGUCAGAGAUCCAUAGAGCCUGCAGCUGAAAAAAAAAAACCCAGAAACUAUCUAGACCAGCGACUAACAUCCCCCCACCUCCCACCCUUGCUCAAUGAAUGAGAAACUGAGGUCCAAGAAGGAGGCAGGACUGGCCCAAUGUCACACAGACAGUAACAGCAAAGGGGCUAUGAGCUUUGACCUUUCAGUCACAGCUCUAGUCUAGCCUGGUUGCUAAGUAGUCAAGCUUGGAUUCAAAUCUGGGUUUUGGCACUCGAGAAUACUUAAUGACUGUGUCCCUUAAGCAAGGGACUUAACUCAUAGGAGCCUCAGUUUCCUCAUCUGUUAAAUGGGGAUGAUAAUAUCUACCUCACAGACUUGUUGAGAGGAUGAAGUAGAAC